GCUAUACAUGCAGUCGAGCGAACUGAUUAGAAGCUUGCUUCUAUGACGUUAGCGGCGGACGGGUGAGUAACACGUGGGCAACCUGCCUGUAAGACUGGGAUAACUUCGGGAAACCGAAGCUAAUACCGGAUAGGAUCUUCUCCUUCAUGGGAGAUGAUUGAAAGAUGGUUUCGGCUAUCACUUACAGAUGGGCCCGCGGUGCAUUAGCUAGUUGGUGAGGUAACGGCUCACCAAGGCAACGAUGCAUAGCCGACCUGAGAGGGUGAUCGGCCACACUGGGACUGAGACACGGCCCAGACUCCUACGGGAGGCAGCAGUAGGGAAUCUUCCGCAAUGGACGAAAGUCUGACGGAGCAACGCCGCGUGAGUGAUGAAGGCUUUCGGGUCGUAAAACUCUGUUGUUAGGGAAGAACAAGUACGAGAGUAACUGCUCGUACCUUGACGGUACCUAACCAGAAAGCCACGGCUAACUACGUGCCAGCAGCCGCGGUAAUACGUAGGUGGCAAGCGUUAUCCGGAAUUAUUGGGCGUAAAGCGCGCGCAGGCGGUUUCUUAAGUCUGAUGUGAAAGCCCACGGCUCAACCGUGGAGGGUCAUUGGAAACUGGGGAACUUGAGUGCAGAAGAGAAAAGCGGAAUUCCACGUGUAGCGGUGAAAUGCGUAGAGAU
This 667-nucleotide ribosomal RNA is filed under the name Priestia aryabhattai. RNAcentral describes it as "bacterial SSU rRNA". It matches the Rfam family "Bacterial small subunit ribosomal RNA", at positions 48 to 697 of the family's 1533-position model. Lineage: Bacteria; Bacillati; Bacillota; Bacilli; Caryophanales; Bacillaceae. The record is from RNAcentral.